Heterocephalus glaber (naked mole-rat) is the source of this 558-nucleotide long non-coding RNA. The record is from Ensembl. NCBI's taxonomy places the organism in Eukaryota, Metazoa, Chordata, Mammalia, Rodentia, Bathyergidae.
GGAUCUCUGACCCUGGAGAGAGUGGGUCACGGUUAGAGGGAGGGGUGAGGGGUGAGACGUGGAGCGAGGAGACGAACCAAACACUUCCACGUUAGUUCCAGUAACUUCGGUGGAAAUUGCGAUGGCAACAAGGUACCAGAACGAUUGAUGGUGUAGAAAGAGCGGGACAGCGUUGAAUAGGAUAAAAGGUCUAACGGAAGUGUGUCAUUUGUGCAGCUCCUCGUUAGUAUAGUGGUUUUACAUCUGGUUUCACAAAGAUCUUUAGUUGUCCACCAAUAUUUAUUUCUUUUUUCAUCCUUAGUAAUAAAAGUCUCUCAGUUGGACACAUGGUUGCCCAGAAAAAGAUUACAUUUCCCUUCCAGUUUUGCAUUUAUAACAUGCAGAGAUGUGCUUCCUAAUUCCUGCAAUUUACUUGGAAUCUGUGGAUGUGCUGAAGUUGAGGAUGUUGAGAUGAAGAGAUUAUCUUGGAUUAUCUCAUCUGAAGGAGGCUUAUAAGGAGAGAUGAAGGCAUUGGGACAUCUCUGGCUUUAGAGACGGAGGCCGGGGCCAUGAGCCAAG